Molecule: ribosomal RNA, 303 nt
Filed under: uncultured bacterium
Lineage: Bacteria
Description: partial 16S ribosomal RNA
Rfam family: Bacterial small subunit ribosomal RNA
Source: RNAcentral
AGCAGUAGCCGCGGGAAUACGUAGGGUGCGAGCGUUAAUCGGAGUUACUGGGCGUAAAGCGUGCGCAGGCGGUUUUGUAAGACAGGCGUGAAAUCCCCGGGCUCAACCUGGGAAUGGCGCUUGUGACUGCAAAGCUAGAGUGCGGCAGAGGGGGAUGGAAUUCCGCGUGUAGCAGUGAAAUGCGUAGAUAUGCGGAGGAACACCGAUGGCGAAGGCAAUCCCCUGGGCCUGCACUGACGCUCAUGCACGAAAGCGUGGGGAGCAAACAGGAUUAGAUACCCCCGUAGUCCCUGUCUCUUAUAC